AUCUUCUUCUGGGAAGGGAUAGAGUGGCGGUGAUGAUGAGGAUUGGGACCUUCUGGUGCUGAUAUAUGGAAGAAGUGGCUCUUUCUCCAUACGGGUUUGGCAGGAAAACCACUUUUAAGUUACCGGAAUACCAGAAUCCAGGUGGGUUUGCUGUCAUACGGUGAUUACUUGAUGUGGGUCAGCUCUAUAUCUGUUAGUGCGCUAGAAAAUGAGAAAAAGAUUGAAAC
RNAcentral lists this long non-coding RNA (227 nucleotides) under Panax ginseng (ginseng). RNAcentral describes it as "long non-coding RNA (PGIN_LNC005319)". Lineage: Eukaryota; Viridiplantae; Streptophyta; Magnoliopsida; Apiales; Araliaceae. The record is from RNAcentral.